GGCCCGGUCGUCGGUUGAACGUCAGUAAGGUCCGAUAUUCAUUCCUUACUCAAAUAGGAAGGUGGCAGUCUCAAUCUAGCGGCGUGGUCCAGAACAAGCCUUUGCUGAUCCAUGGGGUUUUUGUUUUGGUUACAAGAAGUGCUUCUUUGCUCGCUUGCAGCGCCUCGACUCGAGUUUCCGCUGUAGGAUUGAGUGAGGUGACGAGAGCUGAAGCCAAGGUUCCUUGCUACGCUCCAUAGAUGUUCGUACGAUUCUUGUGGAUUUUGGGUGUGUUUGAAUUCAGCCUCUCGUUAGGUCUUCACUGAAGGAUUGUCCACCUUCUCAAGCCUCUCUACCAUACCCUUAGAAAGUGACAACGGAUGACUUCCAUUACUAAAUGGAAGAACUUUUCAAACUAGUUGAUAGUUGUUCCCUGGUUGCACCCCACAAUGGGUUCUAAUUUACUAAAUCACAUGUUUCUGUUUUCGGAACAUCACAUGUAGAGUUUUUUGGGGGAGAAUCACUCGG
This 507-nucleotide long non-coding RNA is filed under the name Nicotiana benthamiana. RNAcentral describes it as "long non-coding RNA (NBEN_LNC005845)". The record is from RNAcentral. Lineage: Eukaryota; Viridiplantae; Streptophyta; Magnoliopsida; Solanales; Solanaceae.